UACAGAGGGGGCAAGCGUUGUUCGGAAUUACUGGGCGUAAAGGGCGCGUAGGCGGCCUUCUAAGUCGAACGUGAAAUCCCCGGGCUUAACCCGGGAACUGCGUCCGAUACUGGAAGGCUUGAAUCCGGGAGAGGGAUGCGGAAUUCCAGGUGUAGCGGUGAAAUGCGUAGAUAUCUGGAGGAACACCGGUGGCGAAGGCGGCGUUCUGGACUGUCUCUGACACUGAACGACGAAAGCCAGGGGAGCAAACGGG
This 253-nucleotide ribosomal RNA is filed under the name uncultured prokaryote. Its description in RNAcentral is "partial 16S ribosomal RNA". It matches the Rfam family "Bacterial small subunit ribosomal RNA", at positions 524 to 776 of the family's 1533-position model. The record is from RNAcentral.